CGUGAGGAACCUGCCUUUCAGAGGGGGGACAACAGUUGGAAACGACUGCUAAUACCGCAUAAUAUAUGUUUGUCGCAUGGCAGAUAUAUCAAAGAUUUAUCGCUGAGAGAUGGCCUCGCGUCUGAUUAGCUAGUUGGUAGGGUAACGGCCUACCAAGGCGACGAUCAGUAGCCGGACUGAGAGGUUGGCCGGCCACAUUGGGACUGAGAUACGGCCCAGACUCCUACGGGAGGCAGCAG
RNAcentral lists this ribosomal RNA (239 nucleotides) under uncultured bacterium. RNAcentral's name for it is "partial 16S ribosomal RNA". It matches the Rfam family "Bacterial small subunit ribosomal RNA", at positions 116 to 354 of the family's 1533-position model. The record is from RNAcentral.